CUUGGCUACAGGCUAGCUCAUGCGGUUCGCAGCGUGAACGCAGUUAUCUCGAACCUUCGGGGGACGAUAACGGCGUCGAGCGGCGGACGGGUGAGUAAUGCCUAGGAAAUUGCCCUGGUGUGGGGGAUAACCAUUGGAAACGAUGGCUAAUACCGCAUAAUACCUUCGGGUCAAAGAGGGGGACCUUCGGGCCUCUCGCGUCAGGAUAUGCCUAGGUGGGAUUAGCUAGUUGGUGAGGUAAUGGCUCACCAAGGCGACGAUCCCUAGCUGGUCUGAGAGGAUGAUCAGCCACACUGGAACUGAGACACGGUCCAGACUCCUACGGGAGGCAGCAGUGGGGAAUAUUGCACAAUGGGCGCAAGCCUGAUGCAGCCAUGCCGCGUGUGUGAAGAAGGCCUUCGGGUUGUAAAGCACUUUCAGUCGUGAGGAAGGUAGUGUAGUUAAUAGCUGCAUUAUUUGACGUUAGCGACAGAAGAAGCACCGGCUAACUCCGUGCCAGCAGCCGCGGUAAUACGGAGGGUGCGAGCGUUAAUCGGAAUUACUGGGCGUAAAGCGCAUGCAGGUGGUUUGUUAAGUCAGAUGUGAAAGCCCGGGGCUCAACCUCGGAAUAGCAUUUGAAACUGGCAGACUAGAGUACUGUAGAGGGGGGUAGAAUUUCAGGUGUAGCGGUGAAAUGCGUAGAGAUCUGAAGGAAUACCGGUGGCGAAGGCGG
RNAcentral lists this ribosomal RNA (712 nucleotides) under Vibrio sp. RNAcentral describes it as "bacterial SSU rRNA". It matches the Rfam family "Bacterial small subunit ribosomal RNA", at positions 18 to 724 of the family's 1533-position model. The record is from RNAcentral. Lineage: Bacteria; Pseudomonadati; Pseudomonadota; Gammaproteobacteria; Vibrionales; Vibrionaceae.